This 574-nucleotide ribosomal RNA is filed under the name uncultured bacterium. RNAcentral describes it as "partial 16S ribosomal RNA". It matches the Rfam family "Bacterial small subunit ribosomal RNA", at positions 355 to 922 of the family's 1533-position model. The record is from RNAcentral.
UGGGGAAUUUUGGACAAUGGGCGCAAGCCUGAUCCAGCCAUGCCGCGUGCGGGAAGAAGGCCUUCGGGUUGUAAACCGCUUUUGUCAGGGAAGAAAUCUUCUGAGUUAAUACCUCGGGAGGAUGACGGUACCUGAAGAAUAAGCACCGGCUAACUACGUGCCAGCAGCCGCGGUAAUACGUAGGGUGCAAGCGUUAAUCGGAAUUACUGGGCGUAAAGCGUGCGCAGGCGGUUUUGUAAGACAGAGGUGAAAUCCCCGGGCUCAACCUGGGAACUGCCUUUGUGACUGCAAGGCUUGAGUGCGGCAGAGGGGGAUGGAAUUCCGCGUGUAGCAGUGAAAUGCGUAGAUAUGCGGAGGAACACCGAUGGCGAAGGCAAUCCCCUGGGCCUGCACUGACGCUCAUGCACGAAAGCGUGGGGAGCAAACAGGAUUAGAUACCCUGGUAGUCCACGCCCUAAACGAUGUCAACUGGUUGUUGGGAAGGUUCCUUCUCAGUAACGUAGCUAACGCGUGAAGUUGACCGCCUGGGGAGUACGGCCGCAAGGUUGAAACUCAAAUGAAUUGACGGGGUCAU